AUUGAACGCUGGCGGCGUGCCUAACACAUGCAAGUCGAGCGGUAACAGGUGUAGCAAUACAUGCUGACGAGCGGCGGACGGGUGAGUAACGCUUGGGAAUCUGCCUAUUAGUGGGGGACAACCCGGGGAAACUCGGGCUAAUACCGCAUACGCUCUACGGAGGAAAGCCGGGGACCGCAAGGCCUGGCGCUAAUAGAUGAGCCCAAGUCGGAUUAGCUAGUUGGUAGGGUAAUGGCCUACCAAGGCGACGAUCCGUAACUGGUCUGAGAGGACGACCAGUCACACCGGAACUGAGACACGGUCCGGACUCCUACGGGAGGCAGCAGUGGGGAAUAUUGGACAAUGGGCGAAAGCCUGAUCCAGCGACGCCGCGUGGGUGAAGAAGGCCUGCGGGUUGUAAAGCCCUUUCAGUGGGGAAGAAAAGCCUCGACCUAACACGUCGGGGUCUUGACGUAACCCAUAGAAGAAGCACCGGCUAACUCUGUGCCAGCCGCCGCCGUAA
This 502-nucleotide ribosomal RNA is filed under the name uncultured bacterium. RNAcentral's name for it is "bacterial SSU rRNA". It matches the Rfam family "Bacterial small subunit ribosomal RNA", at positions 29 to 523 of the family's 1533-position model. The record is from RNAcentral.